CGGGAUCGAGGAAGGUCCACCUUGUCGUGGUGAUCCCGCCCGGCCGUCCUUCGGGUCGGUCGCUAAGAGACCU
This 73-nucleotide non-coding RNA is filed under the name Acyrthosiphon pisum (pea aphid). The record is from RNAcentral. Lineage: Eukaryota; Metazoa; Arthropoda; Insecta; Hemiptera; Aphididae.